AUACGGAGGGGGUUAGCGUUGUUCGGAAUUACUGGGCGUAAAGCGCACGUAGGCGGACUGGAAAGUUGGGGGUGAAAUCCCGGGGCUCAACCCCGGAACUGCCUCCAAAACUUCCAAUCUAGAGAUCGAGAGAGGUAAGUGGAAUUCCUAGUGUAGAGGUGAAAUUCGUAGAUAUUAGGAGGAACACCAGUGGCGAAGGCGGCUUACUGGCUCGAUACUGACGCUGAGGUGCGAAAGCGUGGGGAGCAAACAGGAGUAGAAACCCCAGUAGUCC
This 274-nucleotide ribosomal RNA is filed under the name uncultured bacterium. RNAcentral's name for it is "partial 16S ribosomal RNA". It matches the Rfam family "Bacterial small subunit ribosomal RNA", at positions 523 to 796 of the family's 1533-position model. The record is from RNAcentral.